This 1931-nucleotide long non-coding RNA is filed under the name Homo sapiens (human). RNAcentral's name for it is "HSALNT0298854". Lineage: Eukaryota; Metazoa; Chordata; Mammalia; Primates; Hominidae. The record is from RNAcentral.
GCGUGAGGACUUCGGCGCGCGCCGGAAGCACGUGCGCGGGCUGGGCGCUCUGGCGGUGUGCGCUGAGGUGGGCAGAGCGGCAGGUGGGGGCGUUGGGGGCUGAGUCCCGAUUUCCCUGAGGGAGGGUCGGGUAGAGGCGGGCGGUGGGCAGGUUUGGGGGUGACAGAGGGCUGGGGACAGUGGGGUCCAGUUGCCGGACAGAGGAGGAAGGUGCCCGCACUGGGGAGGAAAGCAGUCCAUUUGCCAAAUUGGCCCGUCUCAGUUAAGACGUUGUCUUCGGUCAUCAUCUGCGGCUGUCAGCCAGGAAAAAACUUCCCUGACGCUGUUACGAUGGAGGCCAGAACUUGGUUAAUGUGUAACAAGGAGGCAGUAGGCCCCAGGUGUCCAGCCAGAGGCCGCCCUGUGAAUGGGAGGCAGGUUCAUUUACCCGUUGGGAAGCUAAGCUUUCACUCCAAACUGCCGGGCCCUCUUGGAUGGAGCUGAGCGGGUGUGGGCGGAAUGACAGAAGCGCAAGAUGCCCAGGUGCUAAAAGGUCAUCGCAAGACUACAGGCUGCAGCCUCUCCACAUCCCAUUUUAGAGGGUUCUGGAUUACGGUUGAGAAGUAUCUCCCGGCCCUCAGCUGGGGAUGUGUUUCCAAAUUUAGGAGUUUUUUUAAUUUUUAUUUUUUAACAGGGUCUGGCACUGUCAGCCCAGCCCAACCGAUUCUCCUGCCUCAGCCUCCUGAGUAGCUGGGGCUAGGGGCUCACACGACCACACCGCGCCAAUUUUUAAAUUUUUUGUAGAGAUGGGGUCUUGUUAUGUUGCCCAGGCUGGUCUUGAACUCCUGAGUUCAAGCAUCCUCCCUCCUUGGCCUCCCAAAUUGCUGGGAUUACAGGCAUGAGUCAUCUCACCUGGCCUUGGAUAGUUUGGUUUCAGAAGCAAAACUGAGUUAGAAUCCCCUUCUGUGGGAAAUGUAGAGAUAAACAUUUAUGGGAAAGAGAAUUUUGGUUGAGGAUUUGGCCCAUCUGAGCUUGAUCAGGGCCACAUAGCGCCUCAUAGUUCCCAACCUUGUUCACAAUAGGUAGUCGAAUGCUCAAAAUAUCCUUGGCUAAGCUCCCAAGUGACCUGGACUGUGUGGAAAAUGCCAGUACAUACUUUUGUGUGUGUGUGUGUGAGUCAGUUUGGCUCCAUCCUCCACAUAAAUUGGCAUCAGAGCUUCCCUCUUCCCCAGUGGCUAUUUGGGUCGGUAUUUUUCUCUUGUCUCCGAUCCUAAUAACAAAUAAAUGCAGUUUUUUCUAAAUCACAGAGAAGGCCCCAUGGUGAAAAGUUGUGACAGCUGUAAUUCCUAAAACUGUUUUAUAUAUAUUUCUUGUUCAGUGGCUCAGAUCAUUUGUUGCUUUCUUGUUUGUCUCUCUGCAUGUCGUGUUUGAUUUAGGCUCCUGAGUAUAACAGAUUGGUUCUGAUUAAAACCAUUUCAGAGGAAAGACAGUGAUCCCAGGAAGCGGGAAGAAAACAGCAUCACCUGAAGUUAUUCCUAUUCGUUAGAUUUGUUUUCUUCCUGCGAAAAACUGCUAUGUACAAGAAAGAAGUCAGUGAGCUGCAGUGAUAGUUAGCAUUAUUGACUGAAACUGGACCAGAGAUCCCUGAAACCUGGACAAGGUGGUAGAAAUACAAAUUAUGCUGCCAUUUCAAAGCUGUGGGCAGUUUUCUACUUUGUGGAAAAUGAAGACUUAGGUAGGCCUUUGGGAAAGACGAUUUGUUUUGGAAAAACCACCCAAAGGGAUCAUUUGGUUUGCAAAUGUAACUGCAGUAUCACAACUGGAAGAAGAAAUAUACAAGGGCGAGGUUUGAAGGAGCCCUUCAGUAUCCUUGGAUGAUACUGUGGAAGAUUCUUUGCAUCUCAGUAACUUUGGAUCUUUGAAGAUCCAAGAAAAUAAAUUUCUUCAAAAUA